CGGAAGUUUUCGGAUGGAAGCAAUAAACCUUAGCGGCGGACGGGUGAGUAACGCGUGGGUAACCUGCCUCAUACAGGGGGAUAACAGUUAGAAAUGACUGCUAAAACCGCAUAAGCGCACAUUGUCGAGUGACAGAGUGUGAAAAACUCCGGUGGUAUGAGAUGGACCCGCGUCUGAUUAGCUAGUUGGUGAGGUAACGGCCCACCAAGGCGACGAUCAGUAGCCGGCCUGAGAGGGCGACCGGCCACAUUGGGACUGAGACACGGCCCAAACUCCUACGGGAGGCAGCAGUGGGGAAUAUUGCACAAUGGGGGAAACCCUGAUGCAGCGACGCCGCGUGAGUGAAGAAGUAUUUCGGUAUGUAAAGCUCUAUCAGCAGGGAAGAAGAAAGACGGUACCUGACUAAGAAGCCCCGGCUAACUACGUGCCAGCAGCCGCGGUAAUACGUAGGGGGCAAGCGUUAUCCGGAUUUACUGGGUGUAAAGGGAGCGUAGACGGCUGUGCAAGUCUGAAGUGAAAGCCCAGGGCUCAACCCUGGGACUGCUUUGGAAACUGUGGAGCUAGAGUGCUGGAGAGGUAAGUGGAAUUCCUAGUGUAGCGGUGAAAUGCGUAGAUAUUAGGAGGAACACCAGUGGCGAAGGCGGCUUACUGGACAGUAACUGACGUUGAGGCUCGAAAGCGUGGGGAGCAAACAGGAUUAGAUACCCUGGUAGUCCACGCGGUAAACGAUGAAUACUAGGUGUUGGAGAGCAAAGCUUUUCGGUGCCGUCGCAAACGCAAUAAGUAUUCCACCUGGGGAGUACGUUCGCAAGAAUGAAACUCAAAGGAAUUGACGGGGACCCGCACAAGCGGUGGAGCAUGUGGUUUAAU
This 870-nucleotide ribosomal RNA is filed under the name uncultured bacterium. Its description in RNAcentral is "bacterial SSU rRNA". It matches the Rfam family "Bacterial small subunit ribosomal RNA", at positions 67 to 950 of the family's 1533-position model. The record is from RNAcentral.